This 69-nucleotide transfer RNA is filed under the name Arborophila brunneopectus (bar-backed partridge). RNAcentral describes it as "tRNA-His". It matches the Rfam family "tRNA". Rfam says of the family: Transfer RNA (tRNA) molecules are approximately 80 nucleotides in length. Their secondary structure includes four short double-helical elements and three loops (D, anti-codon, and T loops). RNAcentral also lists the same sequence under 1 other name. The record is from RNAcentral. Lineage: Eukaryota; Metazoa; Chordata; Aves; Galliformes; Phasianidae.
GUAAGCAUAGUUUGACCAAAACAUUAGAUUGUGAUUCUAAAAACAGGAGUUUAAACCCCCUUGCUCACC